GUGCCAGCAGCCGCGGUAAUACAGAGACUGCAAGCGUUGUUCGGAUUCAUUGGGCGUAAAGGGUGCGCAGGCGGUGUGCUAAGUCGGAUGUGAAAUCUCACAGCCUAACUGUGAUAGGUCAUUCGAAACUGGCAUGCUAGAGGACUGGAGAGGAGACUGGAAUGGUCGGUGUAGCGGUGAAAUGCGUAGAGAUCGACCAGAACACCGGUGGCGAAGGCGGGUCUCUGGACAGUUCCUGACGCUCAGGCACGAAAGCCAGGGGAGCAAACGGGAUUAGAAACCCUCGUAGUCC
RNAcentral lists this ribosomal RNA (292 nucleotides) under uncultured bacterium. RNAcentral's name for it is "partial 16S ribosomal RNA". It matches the Rfam family "Bacterial small subunit ribosomal RNA", at positions 505 to 796 of the family's 1533-position model. The record is from RNAcentral.